CUGUUUUUGAACCCUUCUUAAUAGCCUUGGCCUUCACAACAUCCUCUGGCAAGGAGUUGCAUAGACUGACUGUGUGUCAUGUGAAAAAAAUACUUCCUUUUGUUUUAAACCUGCUGCCUAUUAAUUUCAUUUGGUGACCCCUAGUUCGUGAGUUAGAAGGAGUAGUAAAUAAAACUUCCUUACUUUUUCCACACCAGUCAUGA
Long non-coding RNA from Dermochelys coriacea (leatherback sea turtle), 203 nucleotides. RefSeq lists it as uncharacterized. The transcript is spliced from 3 exons. The record is from RefSeq and is a predicted model, not a curated record. Lineage: Eukaryota; Metazoa; Chordata; Testudines; Dermochelyidae.